Molecule: long non-coding RNA, 354 nt
Organism: Quercus lobata
Lineage: Eukaryota; Viridiplantae; Streptophyta; Magnoliopsida; Fagales; Fagaceae
Exons: 2
Source: RefSeq, a predicted model, not a curated record
AAAAACGUUUCAAAGAUAAUAUAGAUAAAGUUCACACGUGAAGAGCUGCUUUGAUAGAAGUGGCCAAUCUCUUUGGAUUUCAUUUACAAGAUAGGAAUGAGAUAGAAUUUAUCCAAGAUAUUGUGGAAGAGAUAUUUCCUAAAUUAAGUUACAAAUUCCCAAGAUCAGAUACCAGUGAUUUAGUAGGAAUAGAUUCUCGAGUAAAGGAAUUGAUGUCACUUUUGGCUAUACGAUUAAACAAUGUUCGCAUCAUAGGGGUUUGGGGGAUGGGAGGAAUUGGUAAGACAACUCUUGCUAGAUUUGUCUAUCAUAAGAUUUUUAAUUAUUUUGACGGUGGUAGUUUUAUCACUAAUA